Molecule: ribosomal RNA, 253 nt
Filed under: uncultured bacterium
Lineage: Bacteria
Description: partial 16S ribosomal RNA
Rfam family: Bacterial small subunit ribosomal RNA
Source: RNAcentral
UACAGAGGUCUCAAGCGUUGUUCGGAUUCAUUGGGCGUAAAGGGUGUGUAGGUGGCGCCGUAAGUCGGGUGUGAAAUUUCGGAGCUUAACUCCGAAACUGCACUUGAUACUGCCUUGCUCGAGUACUGGAGAGGAGAUUGGAAUUUACGGUGUAGCAGUGAAAUGCGUAGAUAUCGUAAGGAAGACCAGUGGCGAAGGCGAAUCUCUGGACAGUUACUGACACUGAGGCACGAAGGCCAGGGGAGCAAACGGG